UUACAGAGCCGUAAACAUUGAGGCUUUGUU
Molecule: non-coding RNA, 30 nt
Filed under: Mus musculus (house mouse)
Lineage: Eukaryota; Metazoa; Chordata; Mammalia; Rodentia; Muridae
Source: RNAcentral